This 214-nucleotide unclassified non-coding RNA is filed under the name soil metagenome. RNAcentral's name for it is "partial contains 5.8S ribosomal RNA, internal transcribed spacer 2, and large subunit ribosomal RNA". The record is from RNAcentral.
AACGCACGAGACCUGCGGACCUGCGGAAGGAUCAUUACAAGUGACCCCGGUCUAACCACCGGGAUGUUCAUAACCCUUUGUUGUCCGACUCUGUUGCCUCCGGGGCGACCCUGCCUUCGGGCGGGGGCUCCGGGUGGACACUUCAAACUCUUGCGUAACUUUGCAGUCUGAGUAAAUUUAAUUAAUAAAUUAAAACUUUCAACAAUGGAUCUCU